AACGAACGCUGGCGGCAUGCCUAACACAUGCAAGUCGAACGAGAUCUUCGGGUCUAGUGGCGCACGGGUGCGUCACGCGUGGGAAUCUGCCCUUUGGUUCGGAAUAACAGUUGGAAACGACUGCUAAUACCGGAUGAUGACGAAAGUCCAAAGAUUUAUCGCCAGAGGAUGAGCCCGAGUAGGAUUAGCUAGUUGGUGUGGUAAAGGCGAACCAAGGCGACGAUCCUUAGCUGGCCGGAGAGGAUGAUCAGCCACACUGGGACUGAGACACGGCCCAGACUCCUACGGGAGGCAGCAGUAGGGAAUAUUGGACAAUGGGCGAAAGCCUGAUCCAGCAAUGCCGCGUGAGUGAUGAAGGCCUUAGGGUUGUAAAGCUCUUUUACCCGGGAUGAUAAUGACAGUACCGGGAGAAUAAGCUCCGGCUAACUCCGUGCCAGCCGCCGCCGUAA
This 449-nucleotide ribosomal RNA is filed under the name uncultured bacterium. Its description in RNAcentral is "partial 16S ribosomal RNA". It matches the Rfam family "Bacterial small subunit ribosomal RNA", at positions 29 to 523 of the family's 1533-position model. The record is from RNAcentral.